This 215-nucleotide long non-coding RNA is filed under the name Helianthus annuus (common sunflower). RNAcentral's name for it is "hypothetical non coding rna". Lineage: Eukaryota; Viridiplantae; Streptophyta; Magnoliopsida; Asterales; Asteraceae. The record is from RNAcentral.
GACUCCUUCCCCUACAAGGAACUCUUGAAUGGUAUCCUAUGAGAAGUUGAAGGAAAGAUCUUAUUCAAGUGAUUAAUAUCCGCUUGAGUAACCCAAUCUGAGUCUGAUUUUUUCGUUAACGAUUCAGGUGUUUAUUUUGGAUGGUCCGGAGUUUUUGGCUGCAACUAUGUUGGACAGAGAUAUGCUUGCUAUGGCUGGAAAUUGGUACCAUGUCG